RNAcentral lists this ribosomal RNA (1555 nucleotides) under Salmonella enterica subsp. enterica serovar Montevideo str. 366867. RNAcentral describes it as "bacterial SSU rRNA". It matches the Rfam family "Bacterial small subunit ribosomal RNA". The record is from RNAcentral. Lineage: Bacteria; Pseudomonadati; Pseudomonadota; Gammaproteobacteria; Enterobacterales; Enterobacteriaceae.
AAAUUGAAGAGUUUGAUCAUGGCUCAGAUUGAACGCUGGCGGCAGGCCUAACACAUGCAAGUCGAACGGUAACAGGAAGCAGCUUGCUGCUUUGCUGACGAGUGGCGGACGGGUGAGUAAUGUCUGGGAAACUGCCUGAUGGAGGGGGAUAACUACUGGAAACGGUGGCUAAUACCGCAUAACGUCGCAAGACCAAAGAGGGGGACCUUCGGGCCUCUUGCCAUCAGAUGUGCCCAGAUGGGAUUAGCUUGUUGGUGAGGUAACGGCUCACCAAGGCGACGAUCCCUAGCUGGUCUGAGAGGAUGACCAGCCACACUGGAACUGAGACACGGUCCAGACUCCUACGGGAGGCAGCAGUGGGGAAUAUUGCACAAUGGGCGCAAGCCUGAUGCAGCCAUGCCGCGUGUAUGAAGAAGGCCUUCGGGUUGUAAAGUACUUUCAGCGGGGAGGAAGGUGUUGUGGUUAAUAACCGCAGCAAUUGACGUUACCCGCAGAAGAAGCACCGGCUAACUCCGUGCCAGCAGCCGCGGUAAUACGGAGGGUGCAAGCGUUAAUCGGAAUUACUGGGCGUAAAGCGCACGCAGGCGGUCUGUCAAGUCGGAUGUGAAAUCCCCGGGCUCAACCUGGGAACUGCAUUCGAAACUGGCAGGCUUGAGUCUUGUAGAGGGGGGUAGAAUUCCAGGUGUAGCGGUGAAAUGCGUAGAGAUCUGGAGGAAUACCGGUGGCGAAGGCGGCCCCCUGGACAAAGACUGACGCUCAGGUGCGAAAGCGUGGGGAGCAAACAGGAUUAGAUACCCUGGUAGUCCACGCCGUAAACGAUGUCUACUUGGAGGUUGUGCCCUUGAGGCGUGGCUUCCGGAGCUAACGCGUUAAGUAGACCGCCUGGGGAGUACGGCCGCAAGGUUAAAACUCAAAUGAAUUGACGGGGGCCCGCACAAGCGGUGGAGCAUGUGGUUUAAUUCGAUGCAACGCGAAGAACCUUACCUGGUCUUGACAUCCACGGAAGAAUUUCAGAGAUGAGGAUUUGUGCCUUCGGGAACCGUGAGACAGGUGCUGCAUGGCUGUCGUCAGCUCGUGUUGUGAAAUGUUGGGUUAAGUCCCGCAACGAGCGCAACCCUUAUCCUUUGUUGCCAGCGGUCCGGCCGGGAACUCAAAGGAGACUGCCAGUGAUAAACUGGAGGAAGGUGGGGAUGACGUCAAGUCAUCAUGGCCCUUACGACCAGGGCUACACACGUGCUACAAUGGCGCAUACAAAGAGAAGCGACCUCGCGAGAGCAAGCGGACCUCAUAAAGUGCGUCGUAGUCCGGAUUGGAGUCUGCAACUCGACUCCAUGAAGUCGGAAUCGCUAGUAAUCGUGGAUCAGAAUGCCACGGUGAAUACGUUCCCGGGCCUUGUACACACCGCCCGUCACACCAUGGGAGUGGGUUGCAAAAGAAGUAGGUAGCUUAACCUUCGGGAGGGCGCUUACCACUUUGUGAUUCAUGACUGGGGUGAAGUCGUAACAAGGUAACCGUAGGGGAACCUGCGGUUGGAUCACCUCCUUACCUUAAAGAA